CCUACGGGAGGCAGCAGUGGGGAAUAUUGCACAAUGGGGGAAACCCUGAUGCAGCGACGCCGCGUGAGUGAUGAAGUAUUUCGGUAUGUAAAGCUCUGUCAGUAGGGAAGAAAAUGACGGUACCUGACCAAGAAGCUCCGGCUAACUACGUGCCAGCAGCCGUGGUAAUACGUAGGGGGCAAGCGUUAUCCGGAUUUACGGGGUGUAAAGGGAGCGUAGACGGUAGGGCAAGUCUGGAGUGAAAGGGGGGGGCUCAACCCCCGGACUGCUCUGGAAACUGGCAGGCUGGAGUGCAGGAGAGGUAAGUGGAAUUCGUAGUGUAGCGGUGAAAUGCGUAGAUAUUAGGAGGAACACCAGUGGCGAAGGCAGCUUACUAGACUGUAACUGACGUUGAGGCUCGAAAGCGUGGGGAGCAAACAGGAUUAGAUACCCGAGUAGUC
RNAcentral lists this ribosomal RNA (440 nucleotides) under uncultured bacterium. RNAcentral describes it as "partial 16S ribosomal RNA". It matches the Rfam family "Bacterial small subunit ribosomal RNA", at positions 338 to 795 of the family's 1533-position model. The record is from RNAcentral.